AUUGAACGCUGGCGGCAGGCUUAACACAUGCAAGUCGAGCGGGGUGAUGGUGCUUGCACUAUCACUUAGCGGCGGACGGGUGAGUAAUGCUUAGGAAUCUGCCUAUUAGUGGGGGACAACAUCUCGAAAGGGAUGCUAAUACCGCAUACGUCCUACGGGAGAAAGCAGGGGAUCACUUGUGACCUUGCGCUAAUAGAUGAGCCUAAGUCGGAUUAGCUAGUUGGUGGGGUAAAGGCCUACCAAGGCGACGAUCUGUAACGGGUCGGAGAGGAUGAUCCGCCACACUGGGACUGAGACCCGGCCCAGACUCCUACGGGAGGCAGCAGUGGGGAAUAUUGGACAAUGGGGGGAACCCUGAUCCAGCCAUGCCGCGUGUGUGAAGAAGGCCUUAUGGUUGUAAAGCACUUUAAGCGAGGAGGAGGCUCUUUUGGUUAAUACCCAAGAUGAGUGGACGUUACUCGCAGAAUAAGCACCGGCUAACUCUGUGCCAGCCGCCGCCGUAA
RNAcentral lists this ribosomal RNA (503 nucleotides) under uncultured bacterium. Its description in RNAcentral is "partial 16S ribosomal RNA". It matches the Rfam family "Bacterial small subunit ribosomal RNA", at positions 30 to 523 of the family's 1533-position model. The record is from RNAcentral.